UAACUUACAAGAUAAGGUCGGUAUACGCUAAUGCUAUGAAGUAUACUUAAUUCGUUAAUUAUCAUAUAAAGUCAGUACGAAAUAAAUAUUUUGUACAUUGAAGCUAGUCGUCUUUUAAAAUUAGCUUAGGCCCUUAAAGGGUGUAUUUCAGCAGCGUGAGCUUUCGAAAACAAACACAUGCUUGCAUGUUACCAAUCUCUUCAGUUCUGCAGUCUCGUCGCCGCAACAUGUCCGAGCGCAAAAAGCUGUUUUGUUUUUGUAUGUAUGUAUGCUGCUGCCGACGUCAGCAGAGAAUUCGGAGCAGCGUAGAAGAUUUCCGCCGAAAGCAUUUCGGCAAGAAAGAGAGGCAGAUCCUCGGAUAUUACCCUCUCUUUCUGUGUCUUAUAAUCUGCCUGCCCUCGGCUCUCAGAGAGCAACAUUCGGUCGGUGCUCUCUUUUUCGUCUCUCCGUUAUGUUUAGAAAAAAACCAAAAGAAGAAGAAGACCUGGUGCAUUCUGUUUGAGUUAUGAAAAGAAGAGCAGCGGCUGUUUAAAUUGUGCGCUGCAACACAUUUAAAUUUAUUAAAAAAACUGAUAUUUUUUGAAAAUAAAUCAAGUCAGGUUUAUAACAUAACCCAAAAAAUGCUGGUUCCGUUUUCCGAAAGUGGCGUGAGGAAAUCCCUCAAAGGGGUUUAAACAGAUUGAAAAGCGUUGGACAGGGAUUCUGAGGACCCGGACCGAAAAGCGAUGUUAAAUAUUAAGAACAAAUUAUUAAAAAAAACAUAGACUUGCAAAUAAUAAUUGUAAUUCUACAGAAAAUUUAAAUAAUACAAUUGAAAUAAAAUAUAGCUAAAAGUAAAUUAAUAUGUAUUUAUUUUUAAUUCAAUAAUAAUAAAUUAGCGAAUUUUCGACGGGAUUUCCCAGGCACGUUUCCCUUUCAAGGGAAUUCUCGAAUUUUCGACGGGAUUUCCCUGGGACGUUUGCCUUGCACGGGAAAGUGCAUGCAAAAAUUAGUAUUAGAAACACGCGAAAUCCUGAGAGACUUCAAAAAAAUUUCCUGUACAUUUUCCCCUAGGAAAAAACGGACACUCCCUCGGAAUUCCGCGACGUUUUCCCCGGGAAACUUUUAUUUUGAAACUGAAGGGUUAAUAUAAACGGGGUGCCACGCCAACUUUAACGCCCACAAUCCGUGAAAAUCUGUAAAGCCUAUAGUUUUUAUAAUAGAAAAAAAUUAUGCAAUGCCCACUCUAACGCCCAAAAACGGUUUAAAAGGUGGGCUUACCGCCCACAUAACAUAUACCUAAAUAGCGGGAGGUAUUAUUAUAUGUAUAUCUCCAUUUCCCAUUUUGCUUCCUUAAUCUGAUAACAGGUUCGCCCAUGACAAAAAAAUUAAAAUUGGA
This is a long non-coding RNA of Drosophila biarmipes, 1378 nucleotides long. RefSeq lists it as uncharacterized. NCBI's taxonomy places the organism in Eukaryota, Metazoa, Arthropoda, Insecta, Diptera, Drosophilidae. The transcript is spliced from 3 exons. The record is from RefSeq and is a predicted model, not a curated record.